Molecule: ribosomal RNA, 1355 nt
Filed under: uncultured bacterium
Lineage: Bacteria
Description: bacterial SSU rRNA
Rfam family: Bacterial small subunit ribosomal RNA
Source: RNAcentral
GCUACAGGCUUAACACAUGCAAGUCGAGGGGCAGCAUGGUCUUAGCUUGCUAAGGCCGAUGGCGACCGGCGCACGGGUGAGUAACACGUAUCCAACCUGCCGUCUACUCUUGGACAGCCUUCUGAAAGGAAGAUUAAUACAAGAUGGCAUCAUGAGUCCGCAUGUUCACAUGAUUAAAGGUAUUCCGGUAGACGAUGGGGAUGCGUUCCAUUAGAUAGUAGGCGGGGUAACGGCCCACCUAGUCUUCGAUGGAUAGGGGUUCUGAGAGGAAGGUCCCCCACAUUGGAACUGAGACACGGUCCAAACUCCUACGGGAGGCAGCAGUGAGGAAUAUUGGUCAAUGGGCGAGAGCCUGAACCAGCCAAGUAGCGUGAAGGAUGACUGCCCUAUGGGUUGUAAACUUCUUUUAUAAAGGAAUAAAGUCGGGUAUGGAUACCCGUUUGCAUGUACUUUAUGAAUAAGGAUCGGCUAACUCCGUGCCAGCAGCCGCGGUAAUACGGAGGAUCCGAGCGUUAUCCGGAUUUAUUGGGUUUAAAGGGAGCGUAGAUGGAUGUUUAAGUCAGUUGUGAAAGUUUGCGGCUCAACCGUAAAAUUGCAGUUGAUACUGGAUAUCUUGAGUGCAGUUGAGGCAGGCGGAAUUCGUGGUGUAGCGGUGAAAUGCUUAGAUAUCACGAAGAACUCCGAUUGCGAAGGCAGCCUGCUAAGCUGCAACUGACAUUGAGGCUCGAAAGUGUGGGUAUCAAACAGGAUUAGAUACCCUGGUAGUCCACACGGUAAACGAUGAAUACUCGCUGUUUGCGAUAUACGGCAAGCGGCCAAGCGAAAGCGUUAAGUAUUCCACCUGGGGAGUACGCCGGCAACGGUGAAACUCAAAGGAAUUGACGGGGGCCCGCACAAGCGGAGGAACAUGUGGUUUAAUUCGAUGAUACGCGAGGAACCUUACCCGGGCUUAAAUUGCAGAUGAAUUACGGUGAAAGCCGUAAGCCGCAAGGCAUCUGUGAAGGUGCUGCAUGGUUGUCGUCAGCUCGUGCCGUGAGGUGUCGGCUUAAGUGUCAUAACGAGCGCAACCCUUGUUGUCAGUUACUAACAGGUUCCGCUGAGGACUCUGACAAGACUGCCAUCGUAAGAUGUGAGGAAGGUGGGGAUGACGUCAAAUCAGCACGGCCCUUACGUCCGGGGCUACACACGUGUUACAAUGGGGGGUACAGAGGGCCGCUACCACGCGAGUGGAUGCCAAUCCCCAAAACCUCUCUCAGUUCGGACUGGAGUCUGCAACCCGACUCCACGAAGCUGGAUUCGCUAGUAAUCGCGCAUCAGCCACGGCGCGGUGAAUACGUUCCCGGGCCUUGUACACA